Molecule: ribosomal RNA, 253 nt
Filed under: uncultured bacterium
Lineage: Bacteria
Description: partial 16S ribosomal RNA
Rfam family: Bacterial small subunit ribosomal RNA
Source: RNAcentral
UACGAAGGGUGCAAACGUUGCUCGGAAUUAUUGGGCGUAAAGCGCACGUAGGCGGCUUUGCAAGUCGGAUGUGAAAUCCCUCGGCUUAACCAAGGAAGUGCAUCCGAAACUGCAGAGCUUGAGUACUUAAGAGGAUCGCGGAAUUCCCGGUGUAGAGGUGAAAUUCGUAGAUAUCGGGAGGAACACCAGUGGCGAAGGCGGCGAUCUGGGUUGAUACUGACGCUGAGGUGCGAAAGCGUGGGGAGCAAACAGG